This 376-nucleotide ribosomal RNA is filed under the name uncultured bacterium. RNAcentral describes it as "bacterial SSU rRNA". It matches the Rfam family "Bacterial small subunit ribosomal RNA", at positions 28 to 402 of the family's 1533-position model. The record is from RNAcentral.
GACGAACGCUGGCGGCGCGCCUAACACAUGCAAGUCGAACGAGCGGAGAACUUCGGUUCAAAGCUAGUGGCGGACGGGUGAGUAACACGUGAGGAACCUGCCUCUCAGAGUGGGAUACCGUUUGGAAACGAACGUUAAUACCGCAUAAUGUAUCUUGAUCGCAUGGUCUUGAUACCAAAGGAUUUUAUCGCUGAGAGAUGGCCUCGCGUCUGAUUAGCUAGUUGGUGGGGUAACGGCCUACCAAGGCGACGAUCAGUAGCCGACCUGAGAGGGUGACCGGCCACAUUGGGACUGAGAUACGGCCCAGACUCCUACGGGAGGCAGCAGUGGGGAAUAUUGGGCAAUGGGCGAAAGCCUUGACCCAGCGACGCCGCGU